Long non-coding RNA from Bombus pyrosoma, 2041 nucleotides. RefSeq lists it as uncharacterized. The record is from RefSeq and is a predicted model, not a curated record. Lineage: Eukaryota; Metazoa; Arthropoda; Insecta; Hymenoptera; Apidae. The transcript has 4 exons.
UUUUUUGUUAUAUAUCUAAAACAACAACAGGUAUGGCUUUAUUAUCUCUAUGAAAGAUUGUUUUAUGAUUGCUAAAAAAUUACAAACCAAGGGUUCAUUAUAAAUGAUUAAAAUUAAAAAUUGAAUUUUUCUUUUAUUUCUAUAAAACGUUUAUUUAACAGCAUUUUAUCUGCAGAACAGUAAUUAAUAUAAUUUAUUAAUGAUGUUUUAAAAUUAAUUAAUUAAACGAUGUAAUUAAUUAAAAUAUGCUUUAACACGUUCGUUUUAUUUUUGACAAAAUUGAAUGUAUCUGUGAUUUGUGAGCUUGAUUUGUCCAACUUUUAUAUAAUUUGUGAUACAAUUAGUGUCACGAAAAAAAAAAGAAAGAAAAAAGAAAAAGAUACAAGACGUUUGUGUAUAAUCACGUGCAUCUUGUUCUCAUGAAGAUCCGUAAAUAAAGUGUUAUUGUCUUAGAAAGUUUAUAUAUAUUUUGUGAAGAUUAUUUUCGGUGAGUAUUUAUACAUCAUUAUUACAACUAAUUAAAUGUGACGAUGAUCAAUCAUGCAUGUGUGUAGUUCCUUUUUACAAGAUACUUUGAUCAACCACGCGCGUGCAUUUAUGUACACAAUUUUAUUGUAUAUCUCUGCGAAAUUUACAACAUUCUAUAGCUGUUUUAUAGCCUCUUUAUCAAAUGUGUUGUCAUUAAAGAUAACGAACAUUAACCAUUCGAUAUACACACGGUAACGUUGGCUGUCAAAAAGAUGAUAGGCUCGCGACUAGUUGACGUUAUUCUAAUUUCAAAAACACACAGAAAUAUUCUAUGUACUAACUCCGAAUUCUGCAUGUGGAAAAUGCCACAUAAUUCAUCUGAUAUGGUUUAGACUCAACUGCACCGAGACUACAAUAAAAAAGGACGAAAUAAGAUCUGGGCCAGUAUCGUGCAACCUAUUGUGAUGACUUUCUUCCAUGAUGAUAAAGACGAGUUCCUUCAUUGGGCGGUUAUUUAAAGAUCUGGAUGCAAUCCUUGUGUGUCGUGAAAUUGCCGUUCGCUUUAGAUACUUAACCGCCGAUGCAAACGAAACAGUCUGUAUCGCAUUAAGUAUUAGAAUUAAAGUACCAUCAGUUUAGUAUAAAGUGUAAUUCUUUGUCUUCGGAAUACAUGUGCACAUAAAGAAGAUAAUAUGCCUCUUUCUUUGUCUUCUUUAAUUAUAAAUGAUACGCUUCAUUUAAGAAAAGAAUAACAAAACAGAAGGAAAAAGAACCAAAUACGUAUACUGAAGUUCUUAUUCUCUUCGUUUGGUUUUAUGAAUAUACAGUAAUGUACAUAUGUAUGUCGAUAAUAUGUUGUCGAUCGAACGUGAACAUGUGAGUAGACUGUUUUUUUCUCGAUUCAGGUAUAUUAAUCCUGCUACGAUCUUCAAAUAUUUAUAUCUCGAUCUCUCGUUUCAAAAAACAAAAGGAUUUUUGAUAUUUUAGGAAAAAUUUGGUGGAAUUGAAAUGAGGAUAACGUUAAUAAAAAUUUUAACAACGAUUCUCUCACUAUUUUCUUAAAUUUGAAAAAUUUUUAAGAAUAAAGGAAACGAUUGGGUUGAAGAUGACCGAAAGACGUAGCAGAGUUAAGUAUAAAAUCGAAGUACGUAUAAAUUAAUUAAUAAAUUGCGCCAUACCAAAUGUAAGUCAGUUUCAAUAUUCAUUUCGUGACUGUUUUUUCUUUUUUAAUUCCAAUACUUCUCUUUUUUUUCACUUUCUUAUAGUUUUACUUUGCAGCGACACGAAACAGCACGCGGUGUAUCUAAAACUCACGUUUUACGUCGGAAGAACUUUAAUCGAGUUGAUUUAACACGCGUGUAUCGAAACGAAUAUUUUAAUCUGUGCCGAAUGCUAAUGUGGAAUAUCGUUACACGUAACGAGUCUCAAAACAAGAAUGUGUCCAUGGGAGAAGACAGGAACAAAUUGCGAUUUCGAAGAAGAUGAACUUCUCUCGUACCGCAGAAUGUAUUGUACGCGAUCUGAAACGCACGCUAAAAAUAUAAUUUCCAUCUCAAUCUAUUUUAAAAACGGG